This 1105-nucleotide long non-coding RNA is filed under the name Bos indicus x Bos taurus (hybrid cattle). RNAcentral describes it as "lncRNA (ENSBIXG00005006719.1)". The record is from RNAcentral. Lineage: Eukaryota; Metazoa; Chordata; Mammalia; Artiodactyla; Bovidae.
CAUCCUUUGAUGGACAUUUGGAAUUUUUCCACCUUGGGCCUAUUAUGGAUAAUGCUGUUAGGAACAUUCAACUGCAAGCUUUUGUGUGACACACGUUUUUAAUUCUCUUGGGUAAACACAUAGGAAUGGAAUCACUGGGUCAUGGAGUAAAGCCAUGUGAAACCACCAGUUUUCCAAAGAGUUCAGCGCAUACUCACGAGGCUCUCAAUCCUCCCACACCGAGCCCUGCGAAUUGCAGAUCCUGGAGCUCGUCUUGGUGGGAAUACACUGCCCGAGGCCUCAGCAAACGGACGGUGCUGAAGUGGAUCUGGUGCCCAAAGCCCCUGCCAAGGAGGGGCAGCUGGAUCCAGUGGCUCCUGGACUCUCCAGUGUCCUGCCCAGGUAUGAGGGAUGGGGCAGGUGUGGCAUUGGGUGGGGAAAACUGAAGUGGGGCCUUUCCUUUGAGUUCAGCCUUCACCUCCUGCUCCCAAGUGCAGCUGAGAUGGGUAAGACUGAGGAGAUUUUACACAAAUGAUGUUAUAGCUGUGGCUGGGUGAGGCGACGGUGGUGCUGUUUGCCUCUUUAGGCAACUGCUUCAGCUCUGGGUUUGGUGGCUGUCCAGCAUGGUGCCUGCGGCCGUAGUCAGGGCAGACUUGGUGACUUUGGGCAGGUCAUUCAUUUACCUGGGCCUCAGUCUCCACAUCUGCCCAAUAGGAAUGAUAAUAAUCCCUGUUCCCUGGACGGGGUGAAGAUACGAGGAAUUCAGGGGCUUGGAGGUGCUUUGUAACAUGCUAUCUCUGUACGUUAAUUAAGAUGUUUAGGACUUACCUGGUGGAUAAGAAUCUGCCUGCUAAUGCAGGGGACAUGGGUUUGAUCCCAGGUCUGGUAAGAUUCCACAUGGCAAAUAGCAACUAGGCUCUUGUGCCCCAACUACUGAGCCCACAUUCUGCAAGUACUGAAGCCUGGGCCUAGAGUCUGUGCUCGUAACAAAAGAAGCCAUCACAACAAGAAACCCAUGCAAAACAAUGAAGAGUAGCUCUUGCUCGCUGCAACUAGAGAAAGCCCUCUCGCAGCAAAGAAGACCUAGUGCAACCAAAAGUAAAUAAAUAAACACUCAGUCAGUUCA